Molecule: RNA transcript, 1711 nt
Organism: Sapajus apella (tufted capuchin)
Lineage: Eukaryota; Metazoa; Chordata; Mammalia; Primates; Cebidae
Gene name: WAS protein family homolog 6-like
Exons: 9
Source: RefSeq, a predicted model, not a curated record
CUUAAGAGACUUUACCUGAGGGCUGGUCUAGCAGGUCUACUGUUAGGAGCAGGAGGUGUGCAGGGGGUAGGGAGCAGUCCCAGCUUCUGCGAUCUUCUCCAUGGCAGGAUCUCCCAGUGGGUAGAGCAGAGCCAGAGCCAGGUGCAGGCCAUCGAGGAGAAGGUCACCUUGGCCCAGGCCAAGAUUGAGAUCAAGGGCAGUAAGAAGUCCAUCAAGGUGUUCUCCAGUGCCAAGUACCCUGUUCCAGAGCGCUUGAAGGAAUAUGGCUCCAUCUUCACAGGUGUCCAGGACCCUGGCCUGCAGAGACGACCCCGCCACAGGAUCCAGAGCAAGCAUGGCAGGCCCUGCAGGUCUGCUGCUUCCCAGGAGAAGCUGAAGUACUUUCCUGUGUGCAUGAGUGCCAAGCCAGAGCCCGAGGAUGACACAGAGGAGGGGCUUGGGGGUCUUCCCAGCAACAUCAGCUCUGUCAGCUCCUUGCUGCUCUUUAACACCACCAAGAUCUUGUACAAGAAGUAUGUCUUCCUGGACUCCCUGGCUGGUGCUGUAACAAAGACCCAUGUGAUGCUGGGGUGUGGAGAUGGAGGAGAAGCUGUUUGAUGCCCCCUUCUCCAUCAGCAAGAGAGAGCAGCUGGAGCAGCAGGUUCCAGAGAACUACUUAUAGGUGCCAGGCCUGGGCCAAGUACCUGAGAUUGAUGUGCUAUCCUACCUGUCCGACCUGCCCAGCAUCGCCAACGACCUCAUGUACAGUGCCAACCUGGGCCCCGGCAUUGCCCCCUCUGCCCCUGGCACCAUUACAGAACUGUUCACCUUCCACACUGAGGUAGCCGAGCCUCUCAAUUCAGACCUAGAAGGUAGGGUGUUCACAGCACCUGCACCAUCUCCCCCAGUUCCUGAGGUGCUGGCCAGUGCACCCCCCACUCCCACCCUCAGCCGUGGCCCCCGUAGGCCCAGGCACCAGGCAGGACGGCGGCAGCAGCAGUGUGUCUCCUUCAGUUGAGGGAGCUCUCAGGGAAGUGGGCGACCCCUCUGAGGGCCAGGCCACUCUGCUAGAGUCCAUCCACCAAGCUGGGGGCAUUGGCAAGGCCAAGCGGCACAGCGUGAAGGAGCGAAAGCUGGAGCAGCAGCAGCAGCAGGAGCAGGGGCAAGUGAGAGCCACAGACCAAGGUGGGGACCUGAUGUCGGAUCUCUUCAACAAGCUAAUAAUGAGGUGCAAGGGUAGGAGGCAGGGCCACUGCCCGCCCUGGGCCGGCACACUGCAUCUCUGGAAAAGGACCUGGGGCUGGUGAGGGACCCGGAGGAGCCUUUGCCCGUGUGUCAGACUCCGUCCAUCCUCUGCUGCCACCACAGCAGCCACAGGCAGAGGAGGAUGAGGAAGACUAAGAAUCCUAGACUUGGGCCACUUCUCCGACAUGGACACAGCCAGGACAAGCUCCUCAGACCCGUUGCCCUAGGAGGGGGCAGUGAUAGAACUGUCCCAGGACUGUGCGGGGACCACCUUCAUGGAGCAAGAGGCUGGCCUGAGGCCACAGGGCUAGGGUGGGGGCUUCUGUAUGCCUGUGCUCCAGCAGGGGACAGCUCCACCCAGCCUGCACCAGUGUGUUCUUCUCUUCCCUAAAGAGGCUUCCAGAGAAAACUGCAACACAAAUCAAAAAAGAACUGAGCAGAAACCAACAGUGCACUUUUAAUAAAAGACCUCUAGCUGUGCAGGAUG